This 253-nucleotide ribosomal RNA is filed under the name uncultured bacterium. RNAcentral describes it as "partial 16S ribosomal RNA". It matches the Rfam family "Bacterial small subunit ribosomal RNA", at positions 524 to 776 of the family's 1533-position model. The record is from RNAcentral.
UACGUAGGGUGCGAGCGUUGUCCGGAAUUAUUGGGCGUAAAGGGCUCGUAGGCGGUUUGUCGCGUCGGGAGUGAAAACACCGGGCUUAACUCGGUGCUUGCUUUCGAUACGGGCAGACUAGAGGUAUGCAGGGGAGAACGGAGUUCCUGGUGUAGCGGUGAAAUGCGCAGAUAUCAGGAGGAACACCGGUGGCGAAGGCGGUUCUCUGGGCAUUACCUGACGCUGUGGAGCGAAAGUGUGGGGAGCGAACAGG